UUGACCUCGGAUCAGGUAGGGAUACCCGCUGAACUUAAGCAUAUCAAUAAGCGGAGGAAAAGAAACCAACAGGGAUUGCCCCAGUAACGGCGAGUGAAGCGGCAAGAGCUCAAAUUUGAAAGCUGGCUCCUUCGGGGUCCGCAUUGUAAUUUGCAGAGGAUGCUUCGGGAGCGGUCCCCAUCUAAGUGCCCUGGAACGGGACGUCAUAGAGGGUGAGAAUCCCGUAUGGGAUGGGGUGUCCGCGCCCGUGUGAAGCUCCUUCGACGAGUCGAGUUGUUUGGGAAUGCAGCUCUAAAUGGGUGGUAAAUUUCAUCUAAAGCUAAAUAUUGGCCGGAGACCGAUAGCGCACAAGUAGAGUGAUCGAAAGAUGAAAAGCACUUUGAAAAGAGAGUUAAAAAGCACGUGAAAUUGUUGAAAGGGAAGCGCUUGCGACCAGACUCGCUCGCGGGGUUCAGCCGGCACUCGUGCCGGUGUACUUCCCCGCGGGCGGGCCAGCGUCGGUUUGGGCGGUCGGUCAAAGGCCCUCGGAAGGUAACGCCCCUCGGGGCGUCUUAUAGCCGAGGGUGCAAUGCGACCUGCCCAGACCGAGGAACGCGCUUCGGCUCGGACGCUGACAUAAUGAUCGUAAGCGACC
This 634-nucleotide ribosomal RNA is filed under the name Penicillium digitatum. RNAcentral describes it as "eukaryotic LSU rRNA". It matches the Rfam family "Eukaryotic large subunit ribosomal RNA", at positions 1 to 649 of the family's 3401-position model. The record is from RNAcentral. Lineage: Eukaryota; Fungi; Ascomycota; Eurotiomycetes; Eurotiales; Aspergillaceae.